Molecule: long non-coding RNA, 761 nt
Filed under: Hordeum vulgare
Lineage: Eukaryota; Viridiplantae; Streptophyta; Magnoliopsida; Poales; Poaceae
Description: long non-coding RNA (HVUL_LNC019193)
Source: RNAcentral
CAUGAAAAAUAUUGUUUCUAAAAUUGUGUAUAAAACUUCCUCGAAAUGGGUGGAAAAUUGGUGUGUCGUCUUAAUAUAGUGUAGGUAGACCGCCUAUCAAAUUUCGUCGCUUUUGGAGGUCGUGUGAUACCCCAAUGGACAACUCUAGCAGCAUCGUCAUCGGUUUAAAUAUCGGACGUUUUCGCGGUUUUAAAAACUCUAUCACGGGCUGCCAUCUUCCCUCUCUUCUUAGUCCUAGCCUAGCUACACAACUCAUCUAGUAUAACCCUCCGAUCAGAGCCAUCGGAUCAUGAUUCUACGGUCCAAAAAUGGAUGAAACCCCCUAAACCUAGCCCCCUCCUAUAUAAGGAAGCCUACCCGUGCCCAAAAUGAAACCUUAGCCCUGUGCCUCCAUUUCCAUAAGGGCAUGAUCUAUGGGGGCAUCACCUCGGUGUGGUUCCAGCCUCCACCUAAGAAAAAUAAUAAUGGAGCCACCGUAUGAUUAUCCCACACCCAUCAGGAGCAGCACCUCUUCUAGUGGUCCACCUAUCUCUCUCUCUCUGUUACUACUUUUUUACUUCAUGGCUCAUUCUUCCUCCCCUCUCUCCUCCGGUCCGUGCUUUCCUUCUGCCUUUUUCAACGAGGAAGCGGACUCCUCUGCAAGAGCCCGUUUGGCUCUGCAAGCAACUGUCUUUUACCUAUUCUCUUCCACGGCAGCAACUCAUCUGACGUGGAUACAUGAGGCAGCGGUCCACCCUGGAGCGAUGGCCAUGCCCUAACAC